GUAGGUUGGCAAGCGUUGUCCGGAAUUAUUGGGCGUAAAGCGCGCGCAGGCGGGUUUUUUAAGUUCUGAUGUGAAAGCCCACGGGCUCAACCGUGGAGGGUCAUUGGAAACUGGAGAACUUGAGUACAGAAGAGGAAAGCGGAAUUCCACGUGUAGCGGUGAAAUGCGUAGAGAUGUGGAGGAACACCAGUGGCGAAGGCGGCUUUCUGGUCUGUAACUGACGCUGAGGCGCGAAAGCGUGGGGAGCAAACAGGAUUAGAUACCCUGGUAGUCCACGCCGUAAACGAUGAGUGCUAAGUGUUAGGGGGUUUCCGCCCCUUAGUGCUGCAGCUAACGCAUUAAGCACUCCGCCUGGGGAGUACGGCCGCAAGGCUG
Molecule: ribosomal RNA, 375 nt
Filed under: uncultured organism
Description: partial 16S ribosomal RNA
Rfam family: Bacterial small subunit ribosomal RNA
Source: RNAcentral